RNAcentral lists this transfer RNA (69 nucleotides) under Ictidomys tridecemlineatus (thirteen-lined ground squirrel). RNAcentral describes it as "Spermophilus tridecemlineatus (thirteen-lined ground squirrel) tRNA". It matches the Rfam family "tRNA". Rfam says of the family: Transfer RNA (tRNA) molecules are approximately 80 nucleotides in length. Their secondary structure includes four short double-helical elements and three loops (D, anti-codon, and T loops). Lineage: Eukaryota; Metazoa; Chordata; Mammalia; Rodentia; Sciuridae. The record is from Rfam by way of RNAcentral.
GGGGUUGUCACUCAGUGGUAGAGUGCUCGCCUGGCAAAUGUGAGGCCCUGGGUUCAAUCCUCAGCACCA